AUUGAACGCUGGCGGCAUGCCUAACACAUGCAAGUCGAACGAGACCUUCGGGUCUAGUGGCGCACGGGUGCGUAACACGUGGGAAUUUGCCUCGGGGUAUGGAAUAACUCAGGGAAACUUGAGCUAAUACCGGAUACGUCCGUAAGGAGAAAGAUUUAUCGCCAAAGGAUUGGCCCGCGUCCGAUUAGCUAGUUGGUGAGGUAACGGCUCACCAAGGCUACGAUCGGUAGCUGGUCUGAGAGGAUGAUCAGCCACAUUGGGACUGAGACACGGCCCAAACUCCUACGGGAGGCAGCAGUGGGGAAUAUUGGACAAUGGGCGCAAGCCUGAUCCAGCCAUGCCGCGUGAGUGAUGAAGGCCUUAGGGUUGUAAAGCUCUUUUGUCCGGGAAGAUAAUGACUGUACCGGAAGAAUAAGCCCGGCUAACUUCGUGCCAGCAGCCGCGGUAAAGUGACUACUG
RNAcentral lists this ribosomal RNA (459 nucleotides) under uncultured bacterium. Its description in RNAcentral is "bacterial SSU rRNA". It matches the Rfam family "Bacterial small subunit ribosomal RNA", at positions 30 to 532 of the family's 1533-position model. The record is from RNAcentral.